RNAcentral lists this ribosomal RNA (329 nucleotides) under uncultured eukaryote. RNAcentral's name for it is "partial 18S ribosomal RNA". It matches the Rfam family "Eukaryotic small subunit ribosomal RNA", at positions 1470 to 1796 of the family's 1831-position model. The record is from RNAcentral.
CCCUUAGAUGUUCUGGGCCGCACGCGCGCUACAAUGAUGAAUUCAACGAGUUUAUAACCUUGGUUGAAAAGCCUGGGUAAUCUUUUGAACUUUCGUCGUGAUGGGGCUAGACCCUUGCAAUUAUUGGUCUCCAACGAGGAAUUCCUAGUAAACGCAAGUCAUCAGCUUGCAUUGAUUACGUCCCUGCCCUUUGUACACACCGCCCGUCGCACCUACCGAUUGAAUGGUCCGGUGAAAUCUUCGGAUUGAGACUUUGAUUUCUUCACGGAAAACGCUGUUUUAAAAAGUUGAUUAAACCUUACCGUUUAGAGGAAGGUGAAGUCGUAACA